This 480-nucleotide ribosomal RNA is filed under the name Streptococcus mitis. RNAcentral's name for it is "bacterial SSU rRNA". It matches the Rfam family "Bacterial small subunit ribosomal RNA", at positions 28 to 492 of the family's 1533-position model. Lineage: Bacteria; Bacillati; Bacillota; Bacilli; Lactobacillales; Streptococcaceae. The record is from RNAcentral.
GACGAACGCUGGCGGCGUGCCUAAUACAUGCAAGUAGAACGCUGAAGGAGGAGCUUGCUUCUCUGGAUGAGUUGCGAACGGGUGAGUAACGCGUAGGUAACCUGCCUGGUAGCGGGGGAUAACUAUUGGAAACGAUAGCUAAUACCGCAUAAUAGUAGAUGUUGCAUGACAUUUGCUUAAAAGGUGCAAUUGCAUCACUACCAGAUGGACCUGCGUUGUAUUAGCUAGUUGGUGAGGUAACGGCUCACCAAGGCGACGAUACAUAGCCGACCUGAGAGGGUGAUCGGCCACACUGGGACUGAGACACGGCCCAGACUCCUACGGGAGGCAGCAGUAGGGAAUCUUCGGCAAUGGACGGAAGUCUGACCGAGCAACGCCGCGUGAGUGAAGAAGGUUUUCGGAUCGUAAAGCUCUGUUGUAAGAGAAGAACGAGUGUGAGAGUGGAAAGUUCACACUGUGACGGUAUCCUACCCAGAAAGG